GGGCGGUACAGGGUGGUAGUGGCCGGGACGCGCCUUGCACGGUUCAGGUCCGUGUCCCCGUAAGGGGGUGGAGGUUCAAGUCCUCUCUCGCCCA
This 94-nucleotide transfer RNA is filed under the name Actinomycetota bacterium. RNAcentral describes it as "Actinobacteria bacterium tRNA-OTHER". Lineage: Bacteria; Bacillati; Actinomycetota. The record is from RNAcentral.